This is a non-coding RNA of Aegilops tauschii subsp. strangulata, 1050 nucleotides long. The record is from RefSeq and is a predicted model, not a curated record. NCBI's taxonomy places the organism in Eukaryota, Viridiplantae, Streptophyta, Magnoliopsida, Poales, Poaceae.
CAGUUCCCCACCCCGCCCCUCAGCUCCUCGGCCAUCGCUCGCCGUCCUCGGCACCACCUCGCCGCCGCGCUGGUCCACCCGUGGUCCUCCACCGGCCGCUGCAGCCCCUGUACGCCGCCCGACGACCUCCUCCGCUGCCCUCCCUACCCCGACCAGGGGCACAACCGCGCAGCCGCGCCGGUCAGACCAGCCACCGCUGGAGGCCCAAGCAGCCACCAUCUCCACCUCGUCGGCCAGCACAUCUCUAGCAAUCGCUGCUCGCCGCCCCCACCAUCGGCUGUACGGCGACGCCCCUGAGCCCCUGCCUUCCCUAUCGCGCUAUGGACCCUUGCAUCAGCCAGAUCCGAGCACCUCCGGGGCCGCCUUCGCAUGUCUUCGGCACCUCCGCCAGAACCUCUUCGGCCCCAUGAUUUCAGGGAGUAUGGACCAUGUAUGGACAGAUGUGAUCCUUAACUGUCGUUGUUCUUGGCGUGUUGCUGCCAUUUUACUGGGUAGAAUCUAUGCACGGCCGAGACCUCAGUCUAUCCACUGUACGAGUGUUUAAUGAAUUUACUCUUCUCCAUGGCGCGUCCAUGAGGGCAGAAAUUUCAUGCUUCAAAUCUGCUUGGCGAGAACCUUUUCAGGCCUGGAGAUGUCCUUGUGAACUGGUCAGUGAUUUUCGGAAAGUGGAGCUGCAUUCAAGGUUUGAGAUAUAGUUUAUGUCGACUGGAUGAGUUGUUUGAUCUCUUUGCCCUGUUCUUCGAGAUGGGUUGCGAUGAAAACUCUUGGGGCCAUGAGCAACACUUGAGGCUCCUCUUCAUAAGCACAAAAGCUGCAGCAAGCAGAAAUUGGAGAGUUGAAGAGCUUUGUACAGAACCGGAGAUUAGGAGGAAUGGAAAUAUAAGAAACAAUUCAGGAAGAUUCCCUAGGGAAGCAAAAAUUGUUUCCUGGUCUGUGUAGGUCCAUUUAGGAAAUUAGAUGACUGUUGUAAUAUGAAUUUUACAUCCGUUCCAAGAAAAAGUGAUGUUUCUAUUUACAUCCAUUUUGGUGUGAUAAAUAUUGGUUCUGAAC